GUGAGGAAUAUUGGUCAAUGGGCGUAAGCCUGAACCAGCCAAGUCGCGUGAGGGAUGAAGGUUCUAUGGAUCGUAAACCUCUUUUAUAAGGGAAUAAAGUGCGGGACGUGUCCCGUUUUGUAUGUACCUUAUGAAUAAGGAUCGGCUAACUCCGUGCCAGCAGCCGCGGUAAUACGGAGGAUCCGAGCGUUAUCCGGAUUUAUUGGGUUUAAAGGGUGCGUAGGCGGCCUUUUAAGUCAGCGGUGAAAGUCUGUGGCUCAACCAUAGAAUUGCCGUUGAAACUGGGGGGCUUGAGUAUGUUUGAGGCAGGCGGAAUGCGUGGUGUAGCGGUGAAAUGCUUAGAUAUCACGCAGAACCCCGAUUGCGAAGGCAGCCUGCCAAGCCAUGACUGACGCUGAUGCACGAAAGCGUGGGGAUCAAACAGGAUUAGAAACCCUAGUAGUCCU
This 446-nucleotide ribosomal RNA is filed under the name uncultured bacterium. RNAcentral's name for it is "bacterial SSU rRNA". It matches the Rfam family "Bacterial small subunit ribosomal RNA", at positions 354 to 797 of the family's 1533-position model. The record is from RNAcentral.